This 252-nucleotide ribosomal RNA is filed under the name uncultured bacterium. RNAcentral describes it as "partial 16S ribosomal RNA". It matches the Rfam family "Bacterial small subunit ribosomal RNA", at positions 523 to 769 of the family's 1533-position model. The record is from RNAcentral.
AUACGGAGGGUGCAAGCGUUGUUCGGAAUUAUUGGGCGUAAAAGCGCGUGUAGGCGGUUGGUUAAGUCUGAUGUGAAAAGCCCUGGGCUCAACCCCGGGAAAGUGCAUUGGAAACUGGCUAACUUGAGUACGGGAGAGGGUAGUGGAAUUUCGAGUGUAGGGGUGAAAUCCGUAGAUAUUCGAAGGAACACCGGUGGCGAAGGCGGCUACCUGGACCGAUACUGACGCUGAGACGACGAAAGCGUGGGGAGC